GACGAACGCUGGCGGCGUGCUUAACACAUGCAAGUCGAACGGUAAGGCCCUUCGGGGUACACGAGUGGCGAACGGGUGAGUAACACGUGGGUGAUCUGCCCUGCACUUCGGGAUAAGCCUGGGAAACUGGGUCUAAUACCGGAUAGGACCCUGGGAUGCAUGUCCUGGGGUGGAAAGCUUUUGGGGUGUGGGAUGGGCCCGCGGCCUAUCAGGUUGUGGGUGGGGUGAUGGGCUACCACGGCGACGACGGGUAGCCGGCCUGUGAGGGUGACCGGCCACACUGUGACUGAGGUGCGGCCCAGACUCCUACGGGAGGCAGCAGGGGGGAAUAUUGCACAAUGGGCGCAAGCCUGAUGCAGCGACGCCGCGUGAGGGAUGACGGCCUCCGGGUUGUAAACCUCUUUUAGCAGGGAAGAAGCGAAAGUGACGGUACCUGCAGAAAAAGCACCGGCUAACUACGUGCCAGCCGCCGCCGUAA
This 478-nucleotide ribosomal RNA is filed under the name uncultured bacterium. RNAcentral describes it as "partial 16S ribosomal RNA". It matches the Rfam family "Bacterial small subunit ribosomal RNA", at positions 28 to 523 of the family's 1533-position model. The record is from RNAcentral.